CCACAGCACGGCACGGCACCACAGCACGGCACGGCGCGGCACCGCUCCGCUCCGCACCGCUCCGCACCGGCGGGACACACUGCCGCCGCAGCCCGCCGCCCGGGCACACGCACCGCCGCCCUGGCACGAUGAGCCCCGGCUCCAGCGCGAUCCUCGCCUCGCGGUUGUCACAAUACAUUCUUAUCAGUGCGUGGAAACAAGAUGACACGAAUUUCAGCUGCUUAAAAAAAACGGGGGGUAACCUGAAAUGCUCCUUUGCAAAAUGAGCAUUUUAGGUUGAAAUGCUCAUUUGCAGCAAAGCUUACAGCACUGAGAGCUUAUUAAUAAAAUUCUACAGUUUAUUGCACCUGAAAGCAUUGAUACAGUAAUUUUGUUCAAAGGUUUUGGGUUCUACAAAACUUACUCAAAAUACUUUAUUGGUUAAAAAUAUAACUAAAACAUUCUUCAUUCAGCUGAUUCAGAGAAGCCUACUUUCUUAAACAACAUUUUGAUUGACAAGAGAGAUUCUUAGCAUGUAGAGAUAAGUAUGUAGUAAUGCUUUUAAAACAAAUCUUUUCGAGACUCUUUUUCUGCUAGUAAUAGUAAUUCCCAAGGACUUGUGCACAGCAACCUUCUCUGGUUUUUGCAAAGAAAAAGUAACUUAAAAAACUCCCUAGAGACCAGGAUUUGAAGCCUCUAUGUAGUAGCGCAUGCUUCAUUAGCUUUACAGCUCAAAAAGCACUUGAGGUUUUUAGUUUUUAAAAGACAACAAAACAGUUGCAGGCAGUGUACUAAGUGGACCUUCCUGAAGAAGUGGACCAGAUUUUUUACGUUUAUAACAAGUCUGCACCUCAGCACUGUUUUCAAUUAGAAUCCAGUUAUAAUAUUGAAGUAAUCAACCAACUCACAUUAUUACAUGGGAAACAAAGGUUACAAGCCUGAUUCCAAACCUUUGCCAAAGGCAAGACCUGCAAUUGUUGUUUACAUGUAUUCCCACAGUGGAAAAUUCAGAUAAGGUUUCAAAUCACUCCCUAACUGGGAAGGUUGGGCUUUAGCAUGAGCACAACAGAUCCUUCCUGCAGCCCAGACACAGCAAACACAAGCAUGGUGCUGCCUACCCCAUCAGCUGAAAUAUUAACUUCUCAUAAAUACAGUAUGAACCUGACUAGCCAACAACAUGGACAGAAACACAACAUGUCAAAGAGCUCCACAUCCUAAUUGCUCUUACAGCCCGUAAUACUCCCGACACUAGCAUUAGAAAAUGGAAAAGGCCACACUUGAAGGUCCCUAACUUCAGAAAAUGCUUCAAGGGACCAAACGCUGCCCUGAAUUAAAGCUUACUCGGCAUCACUGGCUUUAGAGAACAUUGCUAAAGUAGGAACUUGUGAGCUGCUGGGCCGCCACAAGCAUUCUUCUGACUAACAGGAAGGAACUUUGUUUCAGAGUUAUGAGGCAGAACAUCUGAUCGGUGUAGUAUUAUUAUUAGUCUCCCAGUCCUACAGAAACCACAAUGGGAAGCAAGCAAGACCAAGAAGGAAUAGAAGGAAGGAGGACAAGUGAUUUUCAGUAGCUUCCCUUCCUAUAAGUAACAGGAGGAAGCCUACCCAAAUUGUCCAUGACUGUACCAUAAUUUACACUUACUUUCCCUGAAGGAUGUUUCAAAGCAGCAUUGGCAAUAACCUUGCUAAGCAAGGACGGUACAAAAAGGGAAGAAGAGCUAACAUCUGAUACAGUGAAGUGCCCUGACACCACUAGAUUUCUCCAGAUCUACACAAAAGGGUGAGUUUAAGAAUGAAAACUCUUUACAUUGCCACUGAGUGAACAAAGCCAUGCCAGAACACACUGUACUCUCUGCAGAAGUAAAUAUGCAUUUAUUUCUAUCUUUGCUGUAUUGGUUCAGAAACAAAACUGGCUCAGGUAGAAAUGGGUGGAUGUGACUAUAGGUCAGACUGAAGCACGCACUUAACGUUACCUUCAAUACUAAAAAAAAGUAGAUGCAGUCUUCAGUGGUAGUGUUACCCCUUUCUGGUGGACUACAGAAUUUUCUAGACCACAUUUGUAAAGAAAUACUGCUUUUUGCUAUGAGGUUCUCAUGCCUUUUUUUUUUUUUUCAAAGAGGAUCACAUGGUGUUUCUGAACUGAGUGUCACAGCCCCAGGAGGUUGCCCCUCUUCUCACUGCCUAACAGCAUUAACACAAAAACCAUAAUCCAUCAAAAUUCUUCCACCCCCAGGUCACCUGCCCAGGGCUGUUAGCCAAAGUCCAGUUCUCUGAAUUGCGUACAAUGCACAUUCAGUUCCUGCCUUUGGCUUCCUCAAUCACAUUAAUUCGUUUUCUCAUUCAUUUUCCUGUAGCUGCUUCAGAAGGAGUAAGGGGAAAUAAGCAUGAGCAGAAAGGCACGACCAGUGUCAAAAAGGAAUAGGAGAAAUCUUUAGAAGACAGACGUUGGCAUAAUAAUUCUCAAGUACAGCUACAGGCAACAUCAUGUGCAUCCAGCACACAAUACACCACUUUGCUGUAUUUUGACAUCAGCUGUCAAACUGUGACCAUGCUGUUUAGCAACCACCACUCUUUUAGGUGUGCAAAGACACUAAGCGACAUUUGGAGCAAGCUGAGAUACAUGGCCCUGAAAUGACAGAUUGUGCAGAAGUAAAAACUAGGCUUAGAUACUGAGAGGGAGAAAAUAAGGGGGUACUAAACACCCUCUUCCUUCAUUCUGUCUCCAGGUUUCUCCCAGAUCAAGUGACUUUAUUAUUACUCAGCCCAUUUCUCCAGGUUUGUAUCACAAGCAUUCCAAUCCUUGUGCAAUCAUAAAUUAGUACUCCAAAAGAUCAAGGACAGCAGAUUCAUAAAAAAGAAUUUAAGGACUAAGCUAUUUGCAUUAAAGGAAUGAAUUCCAUAGUCAUCCCAAGAUUCUGCUUGGAUACUUGCUUUGUAACCUCAACUCACUGCAUCCUCUCUGAGGUGUAUCGGAUGGAAAAGAAAGCCAUUUACUGCUGCCUUGCUGCCUCAGACUGAGCGCACUGUGAAUGGCACUUCGUUAUCUCUCCAUUACUUAACCUGUUUCUUGUGUCAGCUCAUCACCAGACACAUUAUUUAUCCAACUACGUACUGCUUUAUUAAUUACUAAUUUAGAUAAGAAUAAAUAACUCUAAGCUUGAAGGCACAAAUACGUCAUCAAUGAAAGGCAGCAGCAAUAAAAAGAAAGGAGUCACAACACUUAAAAGGUAGAGCACUGAAAUACAGUGGCAUGAAGGGAGACAAGGACUUUAAUUUAGACUAUAAAUGCAACAUACCACAUGAAAAAUUCAGUUUGAUAUCUGUAUCAAUAUCAAUACAGAUAUCAAUAUCAGGACCCUCUCAGUAAAAAUUUCUUGAACAUGACAAAUUUCAGCUUGCACAAAACAGUAUUUAGAAAACCAGGCUCAUAAUUGCAUGAUGUAACUUCCAAAACUGUAUGACUCCAGUAUCAGUCAUCAUACCAAACACAGGACUACCUAACCAAUACGUAUCUUAAGGGAUGGGUGGUUAGGACAGAGGUAGUAAGAAGAGGUAACAAAGAGUGAACCUCAGAACAAGAGAUUUACACCAGUACCAGGAGACAGACAGGUUUGUAUGACUGGAGGUUGUGUGAAUGCCAGCAGGGCUGUUCUGUGAUGAGUCUGAAGAACAGAUUUUGGAGAACUGUGCUUCUCUGAGGUGUGGAUCUGAUGUAUGGAAGACAAGUAAAACCAGAGAAAAUGUGGUGACUGGGCCUCACAUUGAUAUAAAUGACAAUGCAAAAUUAUUACUGAAACAGAUCAGAAAUAACUCUUUCAUGCUCUAGGUUAUUUAAAUAGAGUCAUAUUCUUAGAGUACAUUAAAAAGGAAAAUUAAGUUUGAAAGAUUAAUAGCACUCACUUCCAAUUUAGAAUAGUCUUAAGAUAGUAAGCCACUAAAAUGUAUUGGGGAAAAACCACCUCUGCAGAUAGAACGUCACUACGGUGUCUGGAGAAAUAAUCUUCAACAACUUACACCACCAAGAUUUAUACAAGAAAUUAAAACUAAAAAUGAUGGCAGAAAUUGGGAGAAGGCUCUGUAAUAUUCAUAGAUGAAUGGGGAAAAAAGAACAGGUAAGUAAGGAUACAGAAAUACAUCAGUAUGUAAUGAGUAGAUGGACACAAGGGUUUGCUGGGUUUGUUCUUUAAAGUAGUAGUAAUUCAAACCAGCAGGCGGGCAAUGAAGCUAACAAAAGGACCAUUCCUAAUACAACCGAGGUGCUGCGGAUAAUUUAAAAAACAAUACAUAUAAAUAGAAGGAACUUAAACAAAAAAUGGAGGCCUAAAACAUGAAACAAGGCAUUAAAGGGGAAGCAGAAACAGUGGAAUAGUAAG
Molecule: long non-coding RNA, 4351 nt
Organism: Strigops habroptila (Kakapo)
Lineage: Eukaryota; Metazoa; Chordata; Aves; Psittaciformes; Psittacidae
Exons: 2
Source: RefSeq, a predicted model, not a curated record